Phacochoerus africanus (Common warthog) is the source of this 4146-nucleotide long non-coding RNA. RefSeq lists it as uncharacterized. The record is from RefSeq and is a predicted model, not a curated record. Lineage: Eukaryota; Metazoa; Chordata; Mammalia; Artiodactyla; Suidae. The transcript has 5 exons.
CUUAGAUUUGGGCAGGGCUCGCCAGCUGUCGGACAGACACCUCCAUCCACACAGGGGCAUCCUCCCCGCUCCCGACCCCCCUCCCUCCACACCACCACUUCCUUCCACCACACUUUCACCCCCGCCCUCCCCGUUCCUGGUGGUGGCUGUCCAGUUGAGCCCUGCUUUCCUCUGAUCCCCUCGUCCUUGCACUUGAGUUUCUCAAGGAGAGGAAGGGAGAGUGAGAGAAAGGAAAGCAAACAGAAACGGGUGUAGUUGGGGCCAGGAGGGCUGAUGAAGGCAAAUACAGACAAAAAUGUGGAACUUUCCUGGGGAUAUGUUGUCAUCAGCACACACGUGUGGGCAGACUACCUGGGACUGAGUCCUGGCCUUGCUAUUUAGGAGCUGUGUGAUCCAGGAUAAGUUGCUUAACCUCUCUGUGCCUCAGUUUCCUCAGUAAAAACGGUGGUUGAUAGUACGUAGCUCCUGGGUUGUGAGGGUGACAUUAGUUAGUGUGUAUUUGGUUUUAGAACAGAGGGUGGCUCACAUCAAUGACCUAACAUGGUAGCUGUUUUGUGCCAGUGUCUGUGUACUAUUCUCACGAUGGUACCCACACAAGUCCCAGCUGUCACCCACACAAGCCCCGGCUCUCUGCCCUGAGCAGGCAUCCUGCUCACCUCACAGCCCCAGAGGCUGCUUUGUUCCCUGUUGGGGGACAGCCAGGACUCUGGGAGGCUGGGGGUAAUAACUGGGUGAGGGGUUUAUACCCUCUGUUGUUUUGCUUGGGGAAGAAGGAAUUGAUGACAUCCAGUCAUGACCUGAUUUUAUGGUUCUGAGAUGGUGGCAGACAAGCUCCAUGACCUAUAAACCCAGAGGGUACUUGACAAGGGGGUGGGCAUCAUAGGAGGCCAGUGGGCUCCUUCCUCCAGACAUAUCUGUGCUGAGCUCAGAGAAAGGGGCUCUGGAACGGGGUGUAUCCUGGCCCAGAGUCACAGUCCCGUUCUCUGGACCCCACCUGCCACCUGGGGAUUAGGUGCCGGCUCAGUGUUUUGGGUCCCACACAGGGGACUUUCCAAGGGUCUCCUGUAACAAGCGCCAGGCCAUCCACUGGUAAGGGGUGAUGUCGUGAAGCCCUGCAGAGGGCGACCACAGCCUUCAGCUCUGUACUUACCUCCUGCCAUCAGCCUGGUAGACACAGGACAGGGUCCCUUCCCCAGGGCGAGUUUACAUUGACUCUGCAGGGCCAGCCUCACAAGCUGGCCUCCGUGGUACCCACCGUGUUGGGAGGGGGGAGGGAUGAGGAGGAGGCUUUGUGGCUGAGGAGGGACCGGCACUAAAGGAGGAAGACGAAGGUGGAGAGGGAGGUGGCCCAUUGGAGGAUGGGCAGUGGGUGUGUAUUGUCCAGACCGGGUGACAAGACCAGAUUAGGGGCGAUGGCAGAAGAGGUGCCUUGGGCUAUGACUGGGAGGGUCCAACUGGACUCAGGACAGCCUUGAAGUCCCGGCUGAACCACCCUGCCUGACUCUAGAGGAAAUGCGUGGACUUAGGUGGGAAGGCACACAGACUCGUCCUCCAGCUACAGCCCAGCUGGGACACUUUCCCGGGUGGAGAGAGAGGGCGGGGGCAGCUCAGACAAGUGAAGAGACAGAACCAAGCCUGUCCCGCCGGCCCGGUCGCUAAACCAAAUACUCGCGAUAGGGAUGAUCCGUUACGUUCUCUAGUUCUUCUAGUUUCCUAAUCCUCGGGGCUCGGGCACGGAUAAUCCAGGGCUACGUACACAUGAGUCUUCACAAGGCUGCACAAGACCACAGUCUUGUCAGGAGGAGAAACUGAGGCUCUGGUUUAGGAGCUGCCCUCGAAUCACCAUGGAGCAGGACCGAGCGUGGGCUGCCCGCCCCUCCGCCCAGCCACCCCGCUUCUAAACCUGGGUCUUUUCCCGCGUCUGAUCCAGAGAGGAGGGAAGGAUGUACCAAGACAGGGUCUUUGGACAGACAGCCGUUUCAAUUGCUCCUCCUUAGAGCUGGGGUGGGAAUGCCUCUCCCCCCAUAUGCCUUCAGCCUAUUGGUGAGCGGGGAGCUGGAGCAAGUGUGAGGAUGUAGCAGGUUUAGAAGGAAAUAGCUUAAUCCUUGCGUGGGAUGGAGGAGGCAGGAAGGAGGGAGAUGUGAACCUGAGACCCGGGGCGUGUGACUGCCCCGUGGAAGCCUAAGGGUGUGAUGACCCUGCUGCCUGCCUCUCUCAGGGGGAUCGCCUUUGCUAACUGUGGGGGGCAGGGCGUAGGGCCCUAACGGGGGACAGGGCCUCCCGGUGGGGGCUGACCCCUCUGACUUUGUCCCCCCACUCGGAAGCCACCACCCUUGUCGUUUGCCCUCUGAGAGUCCUCCUCCCUUGGGCCGCCCCCUGCCCUCUGUCCCUGGGGCCGUGACAUUGGCAGGGUGCCCAGCGGGGCGAAGACGGCAGCUGUAGGUCCUGGUCCCCAGUACGUGUGUGAGUGUGAAUGCGAGUGGGUUGGGAUGGGGGAGCGGCGGGGCUGGGAUCAUCCGCAGAUCAGAGCUCGGGAGUAGAGAGCUUCUAGCGGGUGGGGCCGCCCUACACGCUGGAGCCCGAGGACCUGCCGCUGGGACCACCACCAGCCUCAACACCCCUGGAGGCCAGAGCACGUCGGACAGGCACUGACCAGAGGAGCCUGGGAGGAGCUGCGGGGGUGAGUCAAACUUGGGACAGACUGGGUGUGGCUGGGCUGGGCGAGAUGGGGAGAAGCCAGGGAUGGAAAAGAGCUGCAGGUGGAGCAAGAAGAGGAGGGAAACGGGAGAGCAUCCUGCCUCAGCCCUUGUUGCUGCACAGUAGCCACGCCCCUUUCCCGGGCCCUGCCACCAGGGGGCGCUGCGGGGUGGGGGGCUGCCAAGCGGAGCCGCAAAGGUGUGAGAUGGAGGCAGAGUUACCGCCUUGUGGGCCCCAAAGGGGACGGUGGAUGGUUGCCCCGUGUCCAGCGGCAGGACAGUGGGGCUCCCAGCCCAGGGUCCGGGUUCCUAGACCCUCCGCUCCUGUUGUGGGGGAGGGAGGAGCAGGCAGAGGGAGAUGAUCUGCCCAAGACUGCAGUGCGGCCUUUACCCCUGGGUGCUCACCGUGGCCCAGGCCCUGGAGAAGCUCCGGAAUAAAUACCUGUGGGCCUUAGAAAAGGGAGGUAGGAGGUGGUGUCACCUGAUAGCGGCUUUCCUUUGUCUGUUCCACCAGACAGAUGCCGGUCGUUUGGAGCAAGAGGAGAUGGUGACCAGCAGAACCCCGGGAGCUGCCAGGGAGGGCCGGGCGGCAGGUGGGCCUGGUGGCCAGCUCCACUGCCCCCUUUCUUCUUGCUUUGCCAGACCUGAGGACCCAUUCCUGGUUCCUGGUACGCUCGCUGCUGCCUGUCACCCUCCUCUGGGCCUUCCACCUCCUCCUGGUGGUGGAGGGCCCCCGUCUCAUGUCCCAUGAGGAGCCUUUGAGGCUGGCAGGACCCCUGGCUGCCUACAGCCUGAGCCUGAUGGUUCUCUCGGGGCACAUGUUCUAUGAGUUCAUGGCCACCUUGCUCCUGGCCAGCUACAGCUGCUUCUGCCAGCCGGUGAACUACAGCUGGAGUGAGCUGGGGUUAAGGAUGGCGAACGUGUGCUGGUGGUGCUUCUCAAAGGCCAUUGAAUUACUGGUCGCGGGGAGUAAUUCACAGUGGGUGAAUGGUCAUCUUCCUAUUACGAAAGGAGCCAGAGCAGAUGAGCUUCCUGCAUGUCUACCACCACAGCACCAUGCUCUUCAGAUAGUGGGCUGGGGUCAAAUAUGUGCCAGGGGUCAAGAUGAGUCAGGGGCUUGGGCAGCCCUGGCCCAGGACUGGUGGUGAGGCCUCUCUCUGCUGGGACAUACCUGAGAGGCAAGUGGGAGCAGCUGACCUACAAGGUGGGGCCGAGGACUGAAACUAGCAGAGCCCUCCCCGUGGAGAGUUUGGCAAAAAUGAUACGGCCCACAGCCCACCCGUGCUGAGCAGAUUCCUCUGGGCAAGUAUUUCAUCCUAUGAGGAAAGGACAAUAACAAUUCUCGCCGCCUUCCCAGAGUUCAGGAGGACAGAACUGGACCCAGCUUCCUGAACGCACAUCUCGUGGAUUUGUCACUAUUUGCACACCUCCUUCCUUUUUUUUUUUUUUU